GGAAAAUUCUAGCGUGAAGUCACCAAAAUGGCUUCAUUGAUGAAGUCAGAUCUAGUGUUACAAAUACAACUUUACUCCCAUUUUAUAGAUGUGUGACAUGUGCCAAACUUAAAUCCAAUGGUUGGUAAUUAAAAGGUUUUUUUUUUUACAGUAAUUAAAAAGGUUAUUGCUUUUCUCUGUACUUCAUCCUCAAAUACAACAAAUGAACUUCCUCCUCACCUCUGUCUCCCCCUCUUUCUCUCACCGCCGUCGUUUCUCUCCGCCACGAUCACCGGAAAAAUAUAUUUAAAAAAACAAAAAAACAGUUUCUCUCGUUGCAUAGCUACUCUCACCUCUCUCCAUUCCGCCGCCGCCGACCCUCUCCUUCCCGACGAAGACAAAUUCCAACGAAGUGAGAACAACUAACAAAACAAAAUUAAUUUAUUUAAAUUUCACUAUAAUAUCCACUCCCAUUGACCUAGUUACUGAAAUCUCAAAAACCCAAUUCUAAAAACUUAAACUUUUUUCUCUAUAACAUCCACUCUCAUUGACCCAAUAAUUGAAAUCUCAAAAAUUGAAUAUGAAACACUGUUCAUUACAUAAGAUUAAUCAAAUUUAGUGACCCCAAUUUUUUUAAAACAGUUUAUAAACACUCAAAUCAAGGUGUUAUUCACGACGGUGACAGGACGGUGAGGAUCGCUCGUGACGAUGGCGGCGAGGGAAAACGUGUGUGGAGAAGCGGUUACGAAAGGUAGACGGGAAGGGGAGGAGGCACGAACAGUGGCACCGGCGGCGACGAUGAGAGAAAGAGGGAGGAGCAGCGGUGGUGAGAUAAUGAGAGGAAGGAGACCAUGAAAUUGUUGUUGUAUAUUUUUUCUUUAAUAUUAUGUUCUUUUUUUUAUUGAAUAAAUAAUAAUUUUGAUGUUUUAAUCUCUUCUUGUAUUAUGCCACAUGUCAUAAAUCAAACGGUUAACACUCACUUGAUCUAUGAGGGUACAUAGAGAUACAUAGUAAAUAUGUGUACCGUAUAAUUUUAUGUGGCACCGACUAAGUCAACAUUGCUUUCUUAUUGGGCCAGAUCAGCAACUUCAUCAAAGAAGUCAAUUAUGUGACUUCACCAUAGAAGCUCCC
This 1110-nucleotide long non-coding RNA is filed under the name Trifolium pratense (red clover). Its description in RNAcentral is "long non-coding RNA (TPRA_LNC011904)". The record is from RNAcentral. Lineage: Eukaryota; Viridiplantae; Streptophyta; Magnoliopsida; Fabales; Fabaceae.